UACGUAUGGUGCAAGCGUUAUCCGGAUUUACUGGGUGUAAAGGGAGCGCAGGCGGCACGGCAAGCCUGAUGUGAAAGCCCGCGGCCCAACCGCGGGACUGCAUUGGGAACUACCGGGCUGGAGUGCCGGAGAGGUAGGCGGAAUUCCUAGUGUAGCGGUGAAAUGCGUAGAUAUUAGGAGGAACACCAGUGGCGAAGGCGGCCUACUGGACGGUGACUGACGCUGAGUCUCGAAAGCGUGGGGAGCAAACAGG
RNAcentral lists this ribosomal RNA (253 nucleotides) under uncultured bacterium. RNAcentral's name for it is "partial 16S ribosomal RNA". It matches the Rfam family "Bacterial small subunit ribosomal RNA", at positions 524 to 776 of the family's 1533-position model. The record is from RNAcentral.